RNAcentral lists this ribosomal RNA (494 nucleotides) under uncultured bacterium. RNAcentral describes it as "bacterial SSU rRNA". It matches the Rfam family "Bacterial small subunit ribosomal RNA", at positions 1026 to 1519 of the family's 1533-position model. The record is from RNAcentral.
CUUCCCACACAGGUGCUGCAUGGCUGUCGUCAGCUCGUGUCGUGAGAUGUUGGGUUAAGUCCCGCAACGAGCGCAACCCUCGUUUCUAGUUGCCAUCAUUCAGUUGGGCACUCUAGAGAGACUGCCGCGAAUAACGCGGAGGAAGGUGGGGACGACGUCAAGUCAUCAUGGCCCUUACGUCCUGGGCUACACACGUGCUACAAUGGGCGCUACAGAGGGUCGCAAGAGCGCAAGCUGGAGCCAAUCCCCAAAAGCGUCCUCAGUUCGGAUCGAGGUCUGCAACCCGACCUCGUGAAGGUGGAAUCGCUAGUAAUCGCGGAUCAGAACGCCGCGGUGAAUACGUUCCCGGGCCUUGUACACACCGCCCGUCAAGCCACGAAAGGAGAGAGCGCUCUAAGCCGCUUCCGGCAACCCGCAAGGGAGCCGGGCGUCUAAAGCGAGAUUUCUGAUUGGGGCUAAGUCGUAACAAGGUAGCCGUAUCGGAAGGUGCGGCU